Molecule: ribosomal RNA, 496 nt
Filed under: uncultured bacterium
Lineage: Bacteria
Description: bacterial SSU rRNA
Rfam family: Bacterial small subunit ribosomal RNA
Source: RNAcentral
GGCGGCGUGCCUAACACAUAGCAAGUCGAACGGAGAAUAUACGCUUCAGAAGCUUCGGCAGAUGAUUGUAUAUUCUAGUGGCGGACGGGUGAGUAACGCGUGGGCAACCUGCCUCAUACUGGGGGGAUAACAGCUGGAAACGACUGUUAAUACCGCAUAAGCGCACAGUGUCGCAUGACACAGUGUGAAAAACUCCGGUGGUAUGAGAUGGGCCCGCGUCAGAUUAGCCAGUUGGCGGGGUAACGCCCACCAAAGCGACGAUCUGUAGCCGGCCUGAGAGGGCGGACGGCCACAUUGGGACUGAGACACGGCCCAAACUCCUACGGGAGGCAGCAGUGGGGGAUAUUGCACAAUGGAGGAAACUCUGAUGCAGCGACGCCGCGUGAGUGAAGAAGUAUUUCGGUAUGUAAAGCUCUAUCAGCAGGGAAGAAAGGCUCGUAAGAGAGAUGACGGUACCUGACUAAGAAGCCCCGGCUAACUACGUGCCAGCCGCCGC